AGAGUUUGAUCAUGGCUCAGAAUCAACGCUGGCGGCGUGCCUAACACAUGCAAGUCGAGCGAGAAAAGGGGGGCAACUCCCUGAGUACAGCGGCGCACGGGUGAGUAACACGUGGGUAAUCUGCCCUGGAGUGGGGAAUAACACCGGGAAACCGGUGCUAAUACCGCAUACGAUCACGAUGUCUGCGGACGUUGUGAUGAAAGGAGCAAUUCGCUCCAGGAGGAGCCCGCGGCUGAUUAGCUAGUUGGUGAGGUAAUGGCUCACCAAGGCAACGAUCAGUAUCCGGUCUGAGAGGACGGUCGGACACACUGGAACUGAGACACGGUCCAGACUCCUACGGGAGGCAGCAGUGGGGAAUUUUUGGCAAUGGGGGAAACCCUGACCAAGCAACGCCGCGUGGGUGAUGAAGUCUCUUGGGACGUAAAACCCUUUCGACGGGGAAGAAAACCGCAAGGUUUGACGGUACCCGUAGAAGAAGCCCCGGCUAACUCCGUGCCAGCAGCCGCGGUAAUACGGGGGGGGCAAGCGUUGUUCGGAAUUACUGGGCGUAAAGGGUGCGUAGGCGGUGCUCUAAGUCGGAUGUGAAAACUCUGGGCUCAACCCAGAGCCUGCAUCCGAAACUGGAGUGCUAGAGUUCUGGAGGGGGUAGCGGAAUUCCUGGUGUAGCGGUGAAAUGCGUAGAUAUCAGGAGGAACACCGGUGGCGAAGGCGGCUACCUGGACAGAGUCUGACGCUGAGGCACGAAAGCUAGGGGAGCAAACAGGAUUAGAUACCCUAGUAGUCC
RNAcentral lists this ribosomal RNA (784 nucleotides) under uncultured bacterium. RNAcentral's name for it is "bacterial SSU rRNA". It matches the Rfam family "Bacterial small subunit ribosomal RNA", at positions 8 to 796 of the family's 1533-position model. The record is from RNAcentral.